UUGUUGGUAAGGUAAAAGCUUACCAAGGCUUCGAUCAGUAGCUGGUCUGAGAGGACGACCAGCCACACUGGGACUGAGACACGGCCCAGACUCCUACGGGAGGCAGCAGUGGGGAAUUUUGGACAAUGGGGGCAACCCUGAUCCAGCCAUGCCGCGUGAGUGAAGAAGGCCUUCGGGUUGUAAAGCUCUUUCAGCCGGAACGAAACGGUUACGGAUAAUACCCGUGACUACUGACGGUACCGGAAGAAGAAGCACCGGCUAACUACGUGCCAGCAGCCGCGGUAAUACGUAGGGUGCGAGCGUUAAUCGGAAUUACUGGGCGUAAAGCGUGCGCAGGUGGUUUUGUAAGUCAGAUGUGAAAGCCCCGGGCUCAACCUGGGAACUGCGUUUGAAACUACAAGACUAGAGUGUGGCAGAGGGGGGUGGAAUUCCGCGUGUAGCAGUGAAAUGCGUAGAGAUGUGGAGGAACACCGAUGGCGAAGGCAGCCCCCUGGGUUAACACUGACACUCAGGCACGAAAGCAUGGGGAGCAAACAGGAUUAGAUACCCUGGUAGUCCAUGCCCUAAACGAUGUCAACUAGUUGUCGGGCCUUUACGGGCUUGGUAACGUAGCUAACGCGUGAAGUUGACCGCCUGGGGAGUACGAUCGCAAGAUUAAAACUCAAAUGAAUUGACGGGGACCCGCACAAGCGGUGGAUUAUGUGGAUUAAUUCGAUGCAACGCGAAAAACCUUACCUACCCUUGACAUGUAUCGAAGCCCGCAGAAAAGCGGGGGUGCCCGAAAGGGAACGAUAACACAGGUGCUGCAUGGCUGUCGUCAGCUCGUGUCGUGAGAUGUUGGGUUAAGUCCCGCAACGAGCGCAACCCUUGUCAUUAAUUGCCAUCAUUUAGUUGGGCACUUUAAUGAGACUGCCGG
Molecule: ribosomal RNA, 916 nt
Filed under: uncultured bacterium
Lineage: Bacteria
Description: bacterial SSU rRNA
Rfam family: Bacterial small subunit ribosomal RNA
Source: RNAcentral